AUGCAGGGACUCCACCGCCGCUACCGAUGGAUCAAGGAGUGGGUUCCGCAGGACCUCGUCAUCGCCGGCGGCCCGUGCGCGCUUUACAAGUGGGUGCGAGAGGAUAGGUUGGCUGCUCUUAAGUCCAAGGACAAGGAAGAAGGGGCAUGCACUGCAAAGCCUGACCCUGCCACUGAGGUUCUUUUCUUAUGCAGCUAUGAUGGCUGUGGGAAAACUUUUGUUGAUGCAGGUGCUCUUAGGAAACAUGCCCACGUGCAUGGGGAGAGGCAGUAUGUCUGUCACUACGAGGGAUGUGGGAAGAAAUUUUUAGAUAGCUCUAAGUUGAAGAGGCAUUUUCUUAUUCAUACAGGCGAGAAGAACUUCGUCUGCCCUCAUGAAGGUUGUGGCAAGGCUUUCUCAUUGGAUUUUAAUUUGAAGGCACACAUGAAAACCCAUUUUGCGGAUAACUAUCAUAUGUGUCCAUACCCAGAAUGUGGUCGAAGAUUUACACAGGAAUCUAAACUAAGGGCUCAUUUCAGGGCACAGCAUGAGAAGUCUGGUGCACAGAAUCCAGGUGGGCCUGUAAUGAACCGCAAUGCACUAGGAGAUCACCCUCAUAACACAGCGAAAUCUCUGGUAACACCACCAGUUCCAUCAGCUGAUCGUCCGUAUGUCUGCCCUUACGAUGGGUGUGCCAAGGCAUACAUUCACGAGUACAAACUUAACCUCCAUUUGAAGAAAGAGCACCCCAACCACUAUUCAGAUGCUGGUGCUCAAGCUGGUCCGUCGAGGGGCACAGUAUCGAAGAAUUCCCGUAGAAGCAAGCCAAACCUCACAACCAGCAUGCCACUCGCCAAGAUCUCUAAGCGCAGCGGUUAUACGGUGCCAUCUCCAGCUGUCAGUAUCCCUGAGGAGCAUCAGUGGCCAAGGAAGGUGUUGUACGAAGAUGAUAGUGAGGAGACCGAGGAAGAGGGAGAUAACCUUGAGGAGGGGGGAUUGAGAUACAGAGCUGCUAGCGACGGCGAUGACGAUGAGGAGACGGAGGAAGAAGAAUGA
Molecule: ribosomal RNA, 1035 nt
Filed under: Triticum aestivum (bread wheat)
Lineage: Eukaryota; Viridiplantae; Streptophyta; Magnoliopsida; Poales; Poaceae
Description: partial small subunit ribosomal RNA
Source: RNAcentral